This 29-nucleotide non-coding RNA is filed under the name Bombyx mori (domestic silkworm). Lineage: Eukaryota; Metazoa; Arthropoda; Insecta; Lepidoptera; Bombycidae. The record is from RNAcentral.
UACAGGAAGUUCAGGAUUACAAGGGCGGU